AACGAACGCUGGCGGCAUGCCUAACACAUGCAAGUCGAACGAGACCUUCGGGUCUAGUGGCGCACGGGUGCGUAACGCGUGGGAACCUGCCCUUAGGUUCGGAAUAACUCCCCGAAAGGGGUGCUAAUACCGGAUAAUUUCUUCGGACCAAAGAUUUAUCGCCUUUGGAUGGGCCCGCGUUGGAUUAGCUAGUUGGUAGGGUAAAAGCCUACCAAGGCGACGAUCCAUAGCUGGUCUGAGAGGAUGUUCAGCCACACUGGGACUGAGACACGGCCCAGACUCCUACGGGAGGCAGCAGUGGGGAAUAUUGGACAAGGGGCGAAAGCCUGAUCCAGCAAUGCCGCGUGAGUGAUGAAGGCCUUAGGGUUGUAAAGCUCUUUUACCCGGGAUGAUAAUGACAGUACCGGGAGAAUAAGCUCCGGCUAACUCCGUG
RNAcentral lists this ribosomal RNA (433 nucleotides) under uncultured bacterium. RNAcentral's name for it is "partial 16S ribosomal RNA". It matches the Rfam family "Bacterial small subunit ribosomal RNA", at positions 29 to 507 of the family's 1533-position model. The record is from RNAcentral.